CCUACGGGAGGCAGCAGUGGGGGAUAUUGCACAAUGGGGGAAACCCUGAUGCAGCGACGCCGCGUGUGGGAAGACGGUCCUCUGGAUUGUAAACCACUGUCCCCAGGGACGAAGAUGACGGUACCUGGGGCGGAAGCUCCGGCUAACUACGUGCCAGCAGCCGCGGUAAUACGUAGGGAGCGAGCGUUGUCCGGAAUUACUGGGUGUAAAGGGAGCGUAGGCGGGACUGCAAGUUGGGUGUCAAAUCUACCGGCUCAACCGGUAGCCGCACUCAAAACUGGAGUCCUUGAGUGAAGUAGAGGCAGGCGGAAUUCCUAGUGUAGCGGUGAAAUGCGUAGAUAUUAGGAGGAACACCAGUGGCGAAGGCGGCCUGCUGGGCUUUGACUGACGCUGAGGCUCGAAAGUGUGGGGAGCAAACAGGAUUAGAUACCCGAGUAGUC
RNAcentral lists this ribosomal RNA (440 nucleotides) under uncultured bacterium. RNAcentral describes it as "partial 16S ribosomal RNA". It matches the Rfam family "Bacterial small subunit ribosomal RNA", at positions 338 to 795 of the family's 1533-position model. The record is from RNAcentral.